RNAcentral lists this ribosomal RNA (497 nucleotides) under uncultured bacterium. RNAcentral describes it as "partial 16S ribosomal RNA". It matches the Rfam family "Bacterial small subunit ribosomal RNA", at positions 28 to 507 of the family's 1533-position model. The record is from RNAcentral.
GAUGAACGCUGGCGGCGUGCCUAAUACAUGCAAGUCGAGCGAACAGACGAGGAGCUUGCUCCUCUGACGUUAGCGGCGGACGGGUGAGUAACACGUGGAUAACCUACCUAUAAGACUGGGAUAACUUCGGGAAACCGGAGCUAAUACCGGAUAAUAUAUUGAACCGCAUGGUUCAAUAGUGAAAGACGGUUUUGCUGUCACUUAUAGAUGGAUCCGCGCCGCAUUAGCUAGUUGGUAAGGUAACGGCUUACCAAGGCAACGAUGCGUAGCUGACCUGAGAGGGUGAUCGGCCACACUGGAACUGAGACACGGUCCAGACUCCUACGGGAGGCAGCAGUGGGGAAUCUUCCGCAAAGGGCGAAAGCUUGACGGAGCAACGCCGCGUGAGUGAUGAAGGUCUUCGGAUCGUAAAACUCUGUUAUUAGGGAAGAACAAAUGUGUAAGUAACUAUGCACGUCUUGACGGUACCUAAUCAGAAAGCCACGGCUAACUACGUG